GAUGAAGAACGCAGCGAAAUGCGAUAAGUAAUGUGAAUUGCAGAAUUCAGUGAAUCAUCGAAUCUUUGAACGCACAUUGCGCCCCUUGGUAUUCCGAGGGGCAUGCCUGUUCGAGCGUCAUUAUCACCCCUCAAGCUUUGCUUGGUGUUGGGGCCUGCUGUAAUAGGCAGCCCUUAAAAUCAGUGGCGGUGCUUCAAGGCUCUAAGCGUAGUAAUUCUCCUCGCUAUAGUGUCUAGUGGUUGCCAGCCAGAACCCCCCAUUUUUUAUGAUUGACCUCGGAUCAGGUAGGGAUACCCGCUGAACUUAAGCAUAUCAAUAAGCGGAGGA
This 327-nucleotide unclassified non-coding RNA is filed under the name soil metagenome. RNAcentral's name for it is "partial contains 5.8S ribosomal RNA, internal transcribed spacer 2, and large subunit ribosomal RNA". The stretch from base 1 to 120 matches the Rfam family "5.8S ribosomal RNA", at positions 35 to 154 of the family's 154-position model. The record is from RNAcentral.